Molecule: long non-coding RNA, 1160 nt
Filed under: Vigna radiata
Lineage: Eukaryota; Viridiplantae; Streptophyta; Magnoliopsida; Fabales; Fabaceae
Description: long non-coding RNA (VRAD_LNC004615)
Source: RNAcentral
UUGCGCGAGAGAAACCCUCUCGUUCGUGAACGCCACCGGCCGUUAGUCGUCGACAGUCGCCGCUGCCACCAAGUCAAGGAUUUGGCUCUCCGUCGAGCCCACCACCGUCGCCGUUAAGAGCCGAUGUCGCUUCACAGGGCCGAUGGUGUUAUUCCCUUCUUCUUCCUUCUCUUCGUCACUCAUGCCGCUGACGAUGCCGCCACGACCAUCUUCCUCAGACGCCAGAACCUCGACGGUGCUACCUCUCUCCACUGCGACACUGUCACCAAGCCAUCACGGGAAAUGGAGCAAGUGUUGGUGACCCCAAUCGCUUUCCUCUCAUAACUCUGCUUUGGUAGGUAUUGUCGAUAAGGAUGAUGAGAUUUUUUCCUUCUCUGUUGGAUUGAUGUAGGUAUUUUAUUGUAUGUUUGGUGGAUUGAAAGAGAGGAUUCGGUGCCUCGAGAAUUUGGAUGAAUUGGUGGUGAACAAAAGGAGUAUCUAUUCUGGUGGUUGGGCGAAGAAUGGUGAUGGGAUUGAAGGGUGGUGCAGGCUCAUACACAAGCGUGAGCAAUAACAAGCAUAAAGAAUGUAAUAACAAUGUAAUAGCAAGUGUACAAGCGUCGGGGUGAGUGCAGAAGUCGUUUACCUUCUUGGAGCUGCUGUGCUUGUCUUGAUCAGGUCUACACUUCCGGUGAUCGUUUCCCUCUACUUCUGGCCGGCGCCCUCUGUUCCCCUCUGCAAGUGAAGAUGAAGAUGUUCUUUCACGGAAUCCUCUCAGUAGUGUGCUCUAUGUUUCCUGUUUUUUUUCUUAUUGUUUGGAAAUGGGGUCUAGAGUGAUGCUCAUGGGAAGCAUGGUGGAGGUCGAGUUUAGGAAGGAGGCAGAGAUACGGUGAUUGGUAAUUCUGUUGAGUGAACAACGGCGUAAAAAAAUGGUGAGGAUGGGCAGCCAAAAGGGAUUUUCUGUUAUUCCCGUAGUGAGUGCUCCAUGAGUGAGUCAGUGAUGAUUGUUAGAGAUAAUGAAGAAUCAAUUUCGUUAUGCCCUCUUCUCCGUGCUUCGUGGAGGAGACAAUUCUGUUGAGCCCCUUGUGAAUAGAUCACGUUUUUUCUUUUUUCCUUUUUUUUUUCUUUUCCUUUUCUUCUUUUUUUCUUUUCUUUUUUUCUUUUUUUAAAAAAUAAUAUGG